RNAcentral lists this ribosomal RNA (100 nucleotides) under Lasiodiplodia pseudotheobromae. Its description in RNAcentral is "partial 28S ribosomal RNA". It matches the Rfam family "Eukaryotic large subunit ribosomal RNA", at positions 1 to 99 of the family's 3401-position model. Lineage: Eukaryota; Fungi; Ascomycota; Dothideomycetes; Botryosphaeriales; Botryosphaeriaceae. The record is from RNAcentral.
UUGACCUCGGAUCAGGUAGGGAUACCCGCUGAACUUAAGCAUAUCAAUAAGCGGAGGAAAAGAAACCAACAGGGAUUGCCUUAGUAACGGCGAGUGAAGC